CGGAGGAUCAUUAUCGUACCACGAGAGGCGCCAGGGCUGUCGCUGACCUCUGUCAUGAGGUCGUGCACGCCCGAGGCGUCCUCGCACAAUCCAUCCCACACACCCCCCUUUGUGCAUCACCGCGUGGGCUCCUUUGGGUC
This 140-nucleotide unclassified non-coding RNA is filed under the name uncultured fungus. Its description in RNAcentral is "sequence contains ITS1". Lineage: Eukaryota; Fungi. The record is from RNAcentral.